RNAcentral lists this ribosomal RNA (294 nucleotides) under Houstonia acerosa. RNAcentral's name for it is "partial contains 5.8S ribosomal RNA, internal transcribed spacer 2, and 26S ribosomal RNA". The record is from RNAcentral. Lineage: Eukaryota; Viridiplantae; Streptophyta; Magnoliopsida; Gentianales; Rubiaceae.
AUCGAGUUUUUGAACGCAAGUUGCGCCCGAAGCCAUUAGGCCGAGAGCACAUCUGCCUGGGCGUCACGCAUCGUCGCCACCCCCAUCGCACGCACGCGUGCCUUGAGCGGGUGACGGAAAUUGGCCUCCCGUGCCCUGCGCGGUUGGCCUAAAACCGAAUCCUCUGCUAGGGAGAGUCACGACAAGUGGUGGUUGAAACCCUCAACUCGAUCGAAGUCGCGGUCCGGAACGAGCAAGGGAGAUCAAAGACCCCGGAGCCUACGGGCCCCUCGACCAUGACCCCAGGUCAGGUGG